UACAGAGGUCCCAAGCGUUGUUCGGAUUCACUGGGCGUAAAGGGUGCGUAGGUGGCAGGGUAAGUUUGAUGUGAAAUCUCCGAGCCUAACUCGGAAACUGCAUUGAAUACUAUUCUGCUCGAGGUUUGGAAGGGGGACUGGAAUUCUCGGUGUAGCAGUGAAAUGCGUAGAUAUCGAGAGGAACACCAGUGGCGAAGGCGAGUCCCUGGACAACACCUGACACUGAGGCACGAAAGCUAGGGGAGCAAACAGG
RNAcentral lists this ribosomal RNA (253 nucleotides) under uncultured bacterium. RNAcentral's name for it is "partial 16S ribosomal RNA". It matches the Rfam family "Bacterial small subunit ribosomal RNA", at positions 524 to 776 of the family's 1533-position model. The record is from RNAcentral.